ANAGUUUGAUCCUGGCUCAAAUUGAACGCUGGCGGCAGGCCUAACACAUGCAAGUCGAGCGGUAACAGAUCCAGCUUGCUGGAUGCUGACNAGCGGCGGACGGGUGAGUAAUGCAUAGGAAUUUACCCGAUAGUGGGGGAUAACCUGGGGAAACUCAGGCUAAUACCGCAUACGUCCUACGGGAGAAAGGGGGCUUUGGCUCCCGCUAUCGGAUGAGCCUAUGCCGGAUUANCUGGUUGGUGAGGUAAUGGCUCACCAAGGCGACGAUCCGUAGCUGGUCUGAGAGGAUGAUCAGCCACAUCGGGACUGANACACGGCCCGAACUCCUACGGGAGGCAGCAGUGGGGAAUAUUGGACAAUGGGGGCAACCCUGAUCCAGCCAUGCCGCGUGUGUGAANAAGGCCCUCGGGUUGUAAAGCACUUUCAGCGAGGAANAACGCCUGGCGGUUAAUACCCGCCAGGAAAGACAUCACUCGCAAAANAAGCACCGGCUAACUCCGUGCCAGCAGCCGCGGUAAUACGGAGGGUGCAAGCGUUAAUCGGAAUUACUGGGCGUAAAGCGCGCGUAGGUGGCUUGAUAAGCCGGUUGUGAAAGCCCCGGGCUCAACCUGGGAACGGCAUCCGGAACUGUCAGGCUANAGUGCAGGANAGGAAGGUANAAUUCCCGGUGUAGCGGUGAAAUGCGUAAAGAUCGGGAGGAAUACCAGUGGCGAAGGCGGCCUUCUGGACUGACACUGACACUGAGGUGCGAAAGCGUGGGUAGCAAACAGGAUUANAUACCCUGGUAGUCCACGCCGUAAACGAUGUCCACCANCCGUUGGGUGCCUA
RNAcentral lists this ribosomal RNA (828 nucleotides) under uncultured bacterium. Its description in RNAcentral is "bacterial SSU rRNA". It matches the Rfam family "Bacterial small subunit ribosomal RNA", at positions 8 to 833 of the family's 1533-position model. The record is from RNAcentral.